RNAcentral lists this ribosomal RNA (421 nucleotides) under uncultured bacterium. Its description in RNAcentral is "bacterial SSU rRNA". It matches the Rfam family "Bacterial small subunit ribosomal RNA", at positions 355 to 773 of the family's 1533-position model. The record is from RNAcentral.
UGAGGAAUAUUGGGCAAUGCCCGCAAGGGUGACCCAGCAACGCCGCGUGGAGGAUGAAUGUCGUAAGAUUGUAAACUCCUGUUAGAGGGGAAGAAUAGUACCGGUUGGACCGGUAUAUGACUGUACCCUCAGAGAAAGCCCCGGCUAACUACGUGCCAGCAGCCGCGGUAAUACGUAGGGGGCAAGCGUUGUCCGGAUUUACUGGGUGUAAAGGGCGCGCAGGCGGGAUAAAAAGUCAGUGGUGAAAUCCUACAGCUUAACUGUAGAACUGCCUUUGAUACUUUUAUUCUUGAGUUCGGGAGAGAGAGACGGAAUUCCAGGUGUAGUGGUGAAAUACGUAGAUAUCUGGAAGAACACCAGUUGCGAAGGCGGUCUCUUGGUCCGACACUGACGCUGAGGCGCGGAAGCGUGGGGAGCAAAC